CAGCGGCUGUUGGCUCGCAGCGAGAGUUUUUGAAGCAACUUUACAAAGGGUUUUGUUAUUUUGGCGGUUGGCAUAAACUGGAGUGUGACUGGAUUGGGAUGACCACAAAGGUAGAUGGGGGUGGUGAUGAAGAUGAUAUGGA
This is a long non-coding RNA of Xiphophorus hellerii (green swordtail), 142 nucleotides long. RefSeq lists it as uncharacterized. Lineage: Eukaryota; Metazoa; Chordata; Actinopteri; Cyprinodontiformes; Poeciliidae. The record is from RefSeq and is a predicted model, not a curated record. The transcript has 3 exons.